This is a long non-coding RNA of Octopus sinensis (East Asian common octopus), 177 nucleotides long. RefSeq lists it as uncharacterized. The transcript is spliced from 3 exons. The record is from RefSeq and is a predicted model, not a curated record. Lineage: Eukaryota; Metazoa; Mollusca; Cephalopoda; Octopoda; Octopodidae.
AGCUGCCAGAUUUCGGAGUUUCAGUGUGUCCAUGCCCAGGGAAGUAAGGCGUUCAGAAUAUGGCAAAUGCCUGAUUGAGGGUAUUCUCUUGGUUGCACGUCGCUGAACGGUUUCCAAACGAUUAAUAUCCCGGGCAAGAUAGGGGUUAUAUAGACAAGACCAGUGAUGAAAAUUCCU